Molecule: ribosomal RNA, 253 nt
Filed under: uncultured bacterium
Lineage: Bacteria
Description: partial 16S ribosomal RNA
Rfam family: Bacterial small subunit ribosomal RNA
Source: RNAcentral
UACGUAGGGGGCAAGCGUUGUCCUGAUUUAUUGGGCGUAAAGAGCGUGUAGGCGGCUUCACAGGUCUGCUGUGAAAACUCGAGGCUCAACCUCGAGCUGUCGGUGGAAACCGUGGGGCUAGAGUCCGGAAGAGGAGAGUGGAAUUCCCGGUGUAGCGGUGAAAUGCGCAGAUAUCGGGAGGAACACCUAUGGCGAAGGCAGCUCGCUGGGACGUUACUGACGCUGAGACGCGAAAGCGUGGGGAGCAAACAGG